GGAAAAGAAAUCAACCGAGAUUCCCCCAGUAGCGGCGAGCGAACGGGGAGCAGCCCAGAGCCUGAAUCAGUGUGUGUGUUAGUGGAAGCGUCUGGAAAGGCGCGCGAUACAGGGUGACAGCCCCGUACACAAAAAUGCACAUGCUGUGAGCUCGAUGAGUAGGGCGGGACACGUGGUAUCCUGUCUGAAUAUGGGGGGACCAUCCUCCAAGGCUAAAUACUCCUGACUGACCGAUAGUGAACCAGUACCGUGAGGGAAAGGCGAAAAGAACCCCGGCGAGGGGAGUGAAAAAGAACCUGAAACCGUGUACGUACAAGCAGUGGGAGCACGCUUAGGCGUGUGACUGCGUACCUUUUGUAUAAUGGGUCAGCGACUUAUAUUCUGUAGCAAGGUUAACCGAAUAGGGGAGCCGAAGGGAAACCGAGUCUUAACUGGGCGUUAAGUUGCAGGGUAUAGACCCGAAACCCGGUGAUCUAGCCAUGGGCAGGUUGAAGGUUGGGUAACACUAACUGGAGGACCGAACCGACUAAUGUUGAAAAAUUAGCGGAUGACUUGUGGCUGGGGGUGAAAGGCCAAUCAAACCGGGAGAUAGCUGGUUCUCCCCGAAAGCUAUUUAGGUAGCGCCUCGUGAAUUCAUCUCCGGGGGUAGAGCACUGUUUCGGCAAGGGGGUCAUCCCGACUUACCAACCCGAUGCAAACUGCGAAUACCGGAGAAUGUUAUCACGGGAGACACACGGCGGGUGCUAACGUCCGUCGUGAAGAGGGAAACAACCCAGACCGCCAGCUAAGGUCCCAAAGUCAUGGUUAAGUGGGAAACGAUGUGGGAAGGCCCAGACAGCCAGGAUGUUGGCUUAGAAGCAGCCAUCAUUUAAAGAAAGCGUAAUAGCUCACUGGUCGAGUCGGCCUGCGCGGAAGAUGUAACGGGGCUAAACCAUGCACCGAAGCUGCGGCAGCGACGCUGAUGCGUUGUUGGGUAGGGGAGCGUUCUGUAAGCCUGCGAAGGUGUGCUGUGAGGCAUGCUGGAGGUAUCAGAAGUGCGAAUGCUGACAUAAGUAACGAUAAAGCGGGUGAAAAGCCCGCUCGCCGGAAGACCAAGGGUUCCUGUCCAACGUUAAUCGGGGCAGGGUGAGUCGACCCCUAAGGCGAGGCCGAAAGGCGUAGUCGAUGGGAAACAGGUUAAUAUUCCUGUACUUGGUGUUACUGCGAAGGGGGGACGGAGAAGGCUAUGUUGGCCGGGCGACGGUUGUCCCGGUUUAAGCGUGUAGGCUGGUUUUCCAGGCAAAUCCGGAAAAUCAAGGCUGAGGCGUGAUGACGAGGCACUACGGUGCUGAAGCAACAAAUGCCCUGCUUCCAGGAAAAGCCUCUAAGCAUCAGGUAACAUCAAAUCGUACCCCAAACCGACACAGGUGGUCAGGUAGAGAAUACCAAGGCGCUUGAGAGAACUCGGGUGAAGGAACUAGGCAAAAUGGUGCCGUAACUUCGGGAGAAGGCACGCUGAUAUGUAGGUGAAGUCCCUUGCGGAUGGAGCUGAAAUCAGUCGAAGAUACCAGCUGGCUGCAACUGUUUAUUAAAAACACAGCACUGUGCAAACACGAAAGUGGACGUAUACGGUGUGACGCCUGCCCGGUGCCGGAAGGUUAAUUGAUGGGGUCAGCGCAAGCGAAGCUCUUGAUCGAAGCCCCGGUAAACGGCGGCCGUAACUAUAACGGUCCUAAGGUAGCGAAAUUCCUUGUCGGGUAAGUUCCGACCUGCACGAAUGGCGUAAUGAUGGCCAGGCUGUCUCCACCCGAGACUCAGUGAAAUUGAACUCGCUGUGAAGAUGCAGUGUACCCGCGGCAAGACGGAAAGACCCCGUGAACCUUUACUAUAGCUUGACACUGAACAUUGAGCCUUGAUGUGUAGGAUAGGUGGGAGGCUUUGAAGUGUGGACGCCAGUCUGCAUGGAGCCGACCUUGAAAUACCACCCUUUAAUGUUUGAUGUUCUAACGUGGACCCGUGAUCCGGGUUGCGGACAGUGUCUGGUGGGUAGUUUGACUGGGGCGGUCUCCUCCUAAAGAGUAACGGAGGAGCACGAAGGUUGGCUAAUCCUGGUCGGACAUCAGGAGGUUAGUGCAAUGGCAUAAGCCAGCUUGACUGCGAGCGUGACGGCGCGAGCAGGUGCGAAAGCAGGUCAUAGUGAUCCGGUGGUUCUGAAUGGAAGGGCCAUCGCUCAACGGAUAAAAGGUACUCCGGGGAUAACAGGCUGAUACCGCCCAAGAGUUCAUAUCGACGGCGGUGUUUGGCACCUCGAUGUCGGCUCAUCACAUCCUGGGGCUGAAGUAGGUCCCAAGGGUAUGGCUGUUCGCCAUUUAAAGUGGUACGCGAGCUGGGUUUAGAACGUCGUGAGACAGUUCGGUCCCUAUCUGCCGUGGGCGCUGGAGAACUGAGGGGGGCUGCUCCUAGUACGAGAGGACCGGAGUGGACGCAUCACUGGUGUUCGGGUUGUCAUGCCAAUGGCACUGCCCGGUAGCUAAAUGCGGAAGAGAUAAGUGCUGAAAGCAUCUAAGCACGAAACUUGCCCCGAGAUGAGUUCUCCCUGACCCUUUAAGGGUCCUGAAGGAACGUUGAAGACGACGACGUUGAUAGGCCGGGUGUGUAAGCGCAGCGAUGCGUUGAGCUAACCGGUACUAAUGAACCGUGAGGCUUAACCUUACAACGCCGAAGCUGUU
RNAcentral lists this ribosomal RNA (2708 nucleotides) under Escherichia coli. RNAcentral describes it as "partial 23S ribosomal RNA". It matches the Rfam family "Bacterial large subunit ribosomal RNA". Lineage: Bacteria; Pseudomonadati; Pseudomonadota; Gammaproteobacteria; Enterobacterales; Enterobacteriaceae. The record is from RNAcentral.